This 1665-nucleotide long non-coding RNA is filed under the name Mus musculus (house mouse). RNAcentral describes it as "predicted gene, 33111". Lineage: Eukaryota; Metazoa; Chordata; Mammalia; Rodentia; Muridae. The record is from RNAcentral.
GUAGAUAAGAGAUGUGUCCCAGGGCUGACGCAAUACAAAUUUCAAGGCUGUGGAACCAGGAGAAGGUCUGAGGAACGGAGCUCCCGGAAGUAAAGGCAUUGCCUCACAUUUGAGUUCUGCAGCAUUCCUUUGGCCUUUCCUGGCCCUUCCUGACCUUGGAACUUGUGAAGAGUGCUGGUCAAGGUCAAUGUUAUUGUGGGAGAUCCUUCAAUCCGAGUUUACAUGAUGGUCUUUUCAUGACUAAAUGGAAGCUGCACGUUUUCUUGCCAAGAACACCACAGAAGGGAAACUCUACACUCCUGGGUGAAUCGGAUUAUGAUUACCUAAUGCUAAUGUUAUUAAUAGUGAUGCUGUUAACCUUGGUUGCUAGGUUAAGGAGAUGUUCUCUGGGUUUCCAUAGUGCAAAAGUUACCCGUUUUUCUCCCUUUGCAAUGGCAUGACUUCAGGAUUUGUGGUCAGAAGCACGAGGUGGAGAAGUCCUGAUACAAUCUUUGUACUGUACGGUUGCCGUCUGGACUUCAUUGACUAUCCCGGAGCGAUCCAGCACAAGUGACAAGUGAAGACCUUGGCUGUGUUUCAGAAGCACAAUUACAACUCUUGGGGUAAAGAGCCUCAGCGACAAGGCCCAGGAAAGCAGGUGUAUUGAGAAUUAGAGGUUGGAAGGGCCUUGAGAGCAGAGGUCUGUUGUUUAACAUCAUCUUCGAGUGUACCCUAGCACGGCGGUCUCGGCUGGAGAGAUUUUCUGUGUGCUGAACUUAGAUGGAUAUGUCAAAGUGUACUCAAGCUUUCUUGAACUUUUUCCCCAUCUGAAAUCACUAAAAAUGUGCAGUAUUUCAAAAAGCCCAAGUUUGCCUCCAAAUAUGCUUGUGAAAUGUAUUUCAACACACAUAUCCAACAGUAAGAACAUGCUGGCCAUAUCAAUCCUCACAGCAACUCUUUAUUGCAGCAUAUUGAGGUUUAAUCAGGAAACAGGUUAGAGCUUCUAUGUACAGGUUUUCUUCUAGUUUGAGGUUUUCCUGAAAUAUGUGACACAGACUCGUUAUACAAAUGGCCACUAGUAAAUUAUUUCCAGCAUGUGUUACUCUGUCAACAGUGAUGCUUUCACAGAACCUUUGUCCUCCACAAUUCCCCCCCUCCAUUUAAACCAGGACAUUUCCAUCUCAGUGAGCCACUGCUGUAUUUGGGACCUAAGCGAGAAGCUGGAUAAACAGAGGCGCUAUUAUUAUUGUUACUGUCAAUAUAGUUUCCUUCCCUAGUUAUAACUGAUUAUUUCCUUUUUUCCAUUUCAAAACAUUUUUGUUCAAAUGCUUCUGAUGGCUCUCGUCACAAGCAAUAUUCCUUCGGAAAUAAUGCACCUUUUUAAUUUCUCAACCUAAAAUACACAGCCCGUCAUCUCCAUAGUAGGAUGAUGCUGUUAGAGAGAUCAGCUGUGUCUAGUUGGAGAAUUUUUAGGGGAAUAAGGGAUUACAGGAGCGAGUGCUUCCUCUAUUAGUUCGUGCAAAGUGAAGACAAGAAAGAAAGUCUGUAGGAUGUAAGAGGUGAUGUUACUCCAGCAAGAGUUGGGCAUUUGGAAACACAUGGAGUUAAAAGCAGUUUUCACUUAAUGUGCUUUGUUGUUUCUGCUACAAUAAAAAUAAAUAAUAAAAAUUCUGUUUUGCUUCUUUA